CAAAGUUCUAGUGCCUUUCCAAAAGCGAAAGCUUAAUCCAUAUUGUUGGGCUGGCCCAAAAUGUUUGGGGCAUCUCGUUGAAUCGGCGCGAACAGGAUGGCGGGCCGGCUGCCACGAUCUCUCAGGACAGAAGAGCCAUGCCUAGGCCGACAGCGACUAACCCCAUCAUCCUCCUGUCUUGUGCAGCCGUGAGAUCUGGGCCUCGCCUGCGUCGAGGCCAACUGCAAGAAUGGCCCAGGACAACGCCAACUAGGUCAUCAACAUUCGAUCCCUUUUCUCCACCAAACCUGCACCACAACAUCAGUCGCCGUCCGCGCGGCGAGGCCGGAGCUCAGCCCACUAUGCCGCAACCCUGCUCGUCAUCCUUUGCGCCUCGGAAUUCCGGCCUCCACAGCACGGGUGCGAUGGGAUCCACCACUCCAGCGAACAUGAUCCACCUAUCAGGUCUGCCCGCCGGCUGAGCGCUGCCACUCCGGAUCCCCUGUCGUACUGGGCUAUCGCUGGUCAGCAAGAGGGUUGCGGCCCCGUCCUUCUGUGCAUCUUCUUCGUGCUCUACCGCCGCAGCAACCUCCCGUCACCAGUGUGAUGUCCGGGUGGCCGUGAGUUCUCUGCCUCUCCGCGCAGUAUCCAACACGGCCGAGCGCCGUUGCCGGCUAGCGAUUGGGCACCUUCCCCGUGCUUCCUAGCUUCUACUACCUUCUAGCGUCGUUCCCAUCUUCCCGUUCCUCUGUCUUGACAUGGCCAUUAGCGCUUGCCUUCCAACACGGGCAAAUAAUUAUGAGCUUUCUAUACACGAGUGAAGCGCCUGCAGGUGUGUGUUUGGAAAUUUUGCCUACACGUGUGUUGUACUUGCACAUAUCGUCAUGUGUUUUACCACCUCAAUUUCUCUUCCUGGUUGAUUUCUUACUGAAGCAUUCCAGUAAAAAAAAAUGUAUUUCGUACCAAAGCUACUCUUGCGGCUUGUGAUCUGAAGAUCAAAGAGAAAUUAUUUUGUUCAAUGUUAGUACUUGAGUUGUGCUGCAGUUCUGCCCAAGAUGUGUCUGUUUUUAUGCCUAAGAGGAGAUAUGUGUUUUCUAGAAUAAACUCAUAUGCAUUCCCUACGUUGAUUGCUCCUAAAUUGUAUGACAC
RNAcentral lists this long non-coding RNA (1128 nucleotides) under Hordeum vulgare. RNAcentral describes it as "long non-coding RNA (HVUL_LNC008874)". Lineage: Eukaryota; Viridiplantae; Streptophyta; Magnoliopsida; Poales; Poaceae. The record is from RNAcentral.